CCUUCCCUGGUUGUCACCCAAGAGAGGAU
Molecule: non-coding RNA, 29 nt
Filed under: Rattus norvegicus (Norway rat)
Lineage: Eukaryota; Metazoa; Chordata; Mammalia; Rodentia; Muridae
Source: RNAcentral